AACACCUGUGUAUUGUGAAACUUUAGGUUAGAAACAGAGUGACAUUUUUACUUCAUGAUAUACACACAAGGACGUUUUUCUACUCAUCAAUACCAACAAUUUUGACAUGUUUCAGAAAAUGUGACGUUGCAUAACUAAGUACCGCUCGCCCUAUUUCACACAUUUUCGGUUAUUUGUUCACGUUGGGAAAUACUCAAUGAAAAUGUUAAUGAUAUUAGGAUUUUUACUAGUGACAAUGAACUCUAUAAAGUGCUACAUGCAUGAACAACGUGAUUACAUGUACGAAAUUAACAGACCUAGAGAUGUACCAUACUAUAUCAAAGAAGCUCUUGAAGUUAAGAACAAAUUCAAACCUUGGCCACGUGCGAAGAAAAAGACUCUGGAAAACCUGUCUAUGCGAGACGUUUUUGAGAAAAUAAAAAACGUCACUGCUGCUCUGAAUAAACAUGCUAAACGGAAUGGUUAUAAGGUUGAUUAUAAAUUUAGGAUACUAGAAUAGUGAUGUUUGUUUGUGACUGCUAUAAGCUUAA
Molecule: long non-coding RNA, 530 nt
Organism: Hyposmocoma kahamanoa
Lineage: Eukaryota; Metazoa; Arthropoda; Insecta; Lepidoptera; Cosmopterigidae
Exons: 3
Source: RefSeq, a predicted model, not a curated record